CAAAACACUUCCACACUUUUCCACAUGUCCACCGCUCCCAGUGGCUGUUUUUGCACAGAAACAAAACUGAAAUCUUGAAUAUCUAGUGCUUUUGUUUCACUCCAUCCUUUCAGAGCCGAACUAUGACUAAAGAAAAUGUACAAGGAGCCGGUGAGGAUGAGCAGCAGGCCCAGUCGAAGAAAGCCCUGAAGAAACAGCAGAAGGAAGCAGAGAAAGCUGCAAAGAAGGCAGAGAAGCAGGCCAAGCUGGCCGCAGAGCAGCAGGAAGCUGAUGAGGAUGAUUUUGCCAAGGAUCGCUAUGGGAUCUCUCCUAUGGUCCAAUCC
Long non-coding RNA from Carassius auratus (goldfish), 323 nucleotides. RefSeq lists it as uncharacterized. The record is from RefSeq and is a predicted model, not a curated record. The transcript is spliced from 4 exons. Lineage: Eukaryota; Metazoa; Chordata; Actinopteri; Cypriniformes; Cyprinidae.